Molecule: non-coding RNA, 107 nt
Organism: Citrus sinensis (sweet orange)
Lineage: Eukaryota; Viridiplantae; Streptophyta; Magnoliopsida; Sapindales; Rutaceae
Source: Rfam
AUGCCAUGACGAGGGCAUCUUUUGAGUAGUUCUUUAAAUCUUUCUCAUGCAUCAUACAAGUUUUUAUCUUCAAGUUGAUGGACAGAUAUGAUCUCAUUCCUCAACUU